Molecule: ribosomal RNA, 500 nt
Filed under: uncultured bacterium
Lineage: Bacteria
Description: partial 16S ribosomal RNA
Rfam family: Bacterial small subunit ribosomal RNA
Source: RNAcentral
GACGAACGCUGGCGGCGUGCUUAACACAUGCAAGUCGAACGGGCCUGUCUUCUUUUUUGGGGGGUGGGUUGAGUGGCGAACGGGUGAGUAUCACGUGAGUAACCUGCCCUUCGGUCCUGGAUAACCGCUUGAAAGGGCGGCUAAUACGGGGUGGUCCGGUUGGUCCGCAUGGGCUGGUCGGGAUAGAUUCACUGUUUUUGGUGUUUCGGCGGGGGAUGGGCUCGCGGCCUAUCAGCUUGUUGGUGGGGUGAUGGCCUACCAAGGCGGUGACGGGUAGCCGGCCUGAGAGGGUGGGCGGCCACACUGGGACUGAGAUACGGCCCAGACUCCUGCGGGAGGCAGCAGUGGGGGGUGUUGCACAAUGGGCGGAAGCCUGAUGCAGCGACGUCGCGUGAGGGAUGGAGGCCUUCGGGUUGUGAACCUCUGUUUCCGGUGGUGAAGGCCCUGUCCGUGUGGUGGGGUUGACGGUAGCCGGGGAUGAAGCGCCGGCUAACUACGUG